This 492-nucleotide ribosomal RNA is filed under the name uncultured bacterium. Its description in RNAcentral is "partial 16S ribosomal RNA". It matches the Rfam family "Bacterial small subunit ribosomal RNA", at positions 29 to 507 of the family's 1533-position model. The record is from RNAcentral.
AGUGAACGCUGGCGGCAGGCCUAACACAUGCAAGUCGAACGGCAGCACAGUAAGAGCUUGCUCUUACGGGUGGCGAGUGGCGGACGGGUGAGGAAUACAUCGGAAUCUAUUUUUUCGUGGGGGAACACGUAGGGAAACUUACGCUAAUACCACAUCCGCCCUACGGGUGAAAGCAGGGGAUCUUCGGACCUUGCGCGAUUGAAUGAGCCGAUGUCGGAUUAGCUAGUUGGCGGGGUAAAGGCCCACCAAGGCGACGAUCCGUAGCUGGUCUGAGAGGAUGAUCAGCCACACUGGAACUGAGACACGGUCCAGACUCCUACGGGAGGCAGCAGUGGGGAAUAUUGGACAAUGGGCGCAAGCCUGAUCCAGCCAUACCGCGUGGGUGAAGAAGGCCUUCGGGUUGUAAAGCCCUUUUGUUGGGAAAGAAAAGCAGAAGGUUAAUACCCCGCUGUUCUGACGGUACCCAAAGAAGAAGCACCGGCUAACUUCGUG